CCUACGGGAGGCAGCAGUGGGGAAUUUUGGACAAUGGGCGCAAGCCUGAUCCAGCUAUUCCGCGUGUGGGAAGACGGCCUUCGGGUUGUAAACCUCUGUCAGCAGGGAAGAACGGUCACUGUGCUAAUCAGCAGUGAAUUGACGGUACCUGCAAAGGAAGCACCGGCUAACUCCGUGCCAGCAGCCGCGGUAAUACGGAGGGUGCGAGCGUUAAUCGGAAUUACUGGGCGUAAAGCGCUCGUAGGCGGUAUGUCAAGUCAAGGGUGAAAUCCCCGCGCUCAACGUGGGAACUGCCUUUGAAACUGGCAAACUGGAGUGUGUGAGAGGAUAGUGGAAUUCCAGGUGGAGGAGUGAAAUCCGUAGAUAUCUGGAGGAACAUCAGUGGCGAAGGCGACUAUCUGGCACAUAACUGACGCUGAGGAGCGAAAGCGUGGGUAGCAAACAGGAUUAGAUACCCCAGUAGUC
Molecule: ribosomal RNA, 465 nt
Filed under: uncultured bacterium
Lineage: Bacteria
Description: partial 16S ribosomal RNA
Rfam family: Bacterial small subunit ribosomal RNA
Source: RNAcentral